Molecule: long non-coding RNA, 527 nt
Organism: Bombus terrestris (buff-tailed bumblebee)
Lineage: Eukaryota; Metazoa; Arthropoda; Insecta; Hymenoptera; Apidae
Exons: 2
Source: RefSeq, a predicted model, not a curated record
AGAGGGGAAAACUAUUCGAAGUUGAUUAAAUUCAUUUUUCUGUAAUUGUGUCAUACUAAAAAAUAUUCACACUUGAUUUUAACUAUAAAUUUGAUAAUGCUUUACUACAAGGAGGUGAUAUUUCGUCUGCUGCAUCAUAAUAAUCUUCGUCUUCAUCCGAAGAUGAAUAAGAGAAUUGGGGUACAGGGAGAUCCCUAUCCACAACAGCUUUACAAGUAAAAAUCAAUGAAAAUAUGUAUUUUAAUCCGUUUGUCUACUUGAUUGAUAAUUUUAUUUUUAGGAAUACUAUAACUUAAUAAUUUGACAUUUAUUUUUAAUUUAGUACACAUAAAUAAGAAAAAAUAAAUUACCAUUUGGCAAUGUAGGUACCCUUAGUUCUACACAUUCGGAACCUAAUUCAAUACCAGUCUGUACAGUUGCUUCUGGUUCUCUAACAGCAACUAAAAUUUAUUAUAUUGCAUGUCUUUCAUUAUAGGUGUAUUUUAUACUCACAUUUAAAUACAUACCAUGAGAUAAUGAAGACGAAA